AGUGAACGCUGGCGGUAGGCCUAACACAUGCAAGUCGAACGGCAGCACAGGAGAGCUUGCUCUCUGGGUGGCGAGUGGCGGACGGGUGAGGAAUACAUCGGAAUCUACUUUUUCGUGGGGGAUAACGUAGGGAAACUUACGCUAAUACCGCAUACGACCUACGGGUGAAAGCAGGGGACCUUCGGGCCUUGCGCGAUUGAAUGAGCCGAUGUCGGAUUAGCUAGUUGGCGGGGUAAAGGCCCACCAAGGCGACGAUCCGUAGCUGGUCUGCGAAGAUGAUCAGCCACACUGGAACUGAGACACGGUCCAGACUCCUACGGGAGGCAGCAGUGGGGAAUAUUGGACAAUGGGCGCAAGCCUGAUUCAGCCAUACCGCGUGGGUGAAGAAGGCCUUCGGGUUGUAAAGCCCUUUUGUUGGGAAAGAAAUCCAGCUGGCUAAUACCCGGUUGGGAUGACGGUACCCAAAGAAUAAGCACCGGCUAACUUCGUGCCAGCCGCCGCAGUAA
RNAcentral lists this ribosomal RNA (506 nucleotides) under uncultured bacterium. Its description in RNAcentral is "partial 16S ribosomal RNA". It matches the Rfam family "Bacterial small subunit ribosomal RNA", at positions 29 to 523 of the family's 1533-position model. The record is from RNAcentral.